This 240-nucleotide unclassified non-coding RNA is filed under the name soil metagenome. RNAcentral's name for it is "partial contains 5.8S ribosomal RNA, internal transcribed spacer 2, and large subunit ribosomal RNA". The record is from RNAcentral.
AAGACUAUAGACCUGCGGAGUACCUGCGGAAGAUCAUUAUCGUAUUGUAACAAUUGGGGGGGCCACCGUGGGCUGUCGCUGACCCUUUGAAAGGGGGGUCGUGCACGCCCCCAUAGUGUCAUCCUCAUACAAUCCAACUCACCUCUGUGCAUCACCGCGUGGGUUCCUUUCUGGGUCGAGUCAGACUGGCUCAGAAAAAAGGGGCUUGCGUUUUCCAUACAAAUACCCUUAUAAAUCCAG